Culex pipiens pallens (northern house mosquito) is the source of this 749-nucleotide long non-coding RNA. RefSeq lists it as uncharacterized. The transcript has 3 exons. Lineage: Eukaryota; Metazoa; Arthropoda; Insecta; Diptera; Culicidae. The record is from RefSeq and is a predicted model, not a curated record.
GUGCAAACGAGCUAACAACAAAGAAGUUCCCGGAGAAGAUCAAAUCGGGAAGAGAACCGUGGAUUGACGGAGUGCAGCUCCCGGUAACGCUGAUCGAACAUCGACCAGCUGGAGGAAAACGGCAUCUGCCGAGCGUUGGCGACGGCUUCCAGCGGCGAGUCCACCCGUCUCCUAGGGCCAGCUCAUCCGGCAGCGGGGCGUGUUCUUCUGGGUGGCAAAGGGCCGGAUCAAUUUGCGGUGUCUGGACAAGACUUUGAGGAAUCUUGAUGCCGUUUUCACGGUCAACCGCGGGUGCAUCUAAUCGACGUCAAAGCCGGAGCCGGAAUAGAUGCUAGAGGAGGGAACGGCACUAUUGUUCAUUUGGUGACUGGUCAAAGUACCACAACAAUCUUCCGGUGAAACGAGGGAUGCGGCCGUAUUAAAGGAGAAGGCUGCUGAAGAACUCAAGUCUGCGGCAUCGCUCUGGUGAGGAGACCACCAACACUCCGGAAGCUGUCCCAAUUGAGAAGGACCACCUGCUUGAGCGUCUGGAGAAGAUCGACACCUCGUCACCCUCGACAAAGACAGCCAGCGCCACCACCACCAAGGAAACCGGUGACGGCAGUUCGGCGGCCACAAACGACGUUGACAUGGAAAACCACGAUCUGAUCCAGCGGCUGGAGGCAUCUUGAAGUGUGAAGUGUGAAACUAAUAAAACUGUAUGAAAAAGACAAAAAAAAAUCCUAUGCCAAAACCGCAUUUAAUAUGAA